RNAcentral lists this ribosomal RNA (1153 nucleotides) under Kushneria avicenniae. Its description in RNAcentral is "bacterial SSU rRNA". It matches the Rfam family "Bacterial small subunit ribosomal RNA", at positions 69 to 1215 of the family's 1533-position model. The record is from RNAcentral. Lineage: Bacteria; Pseudomonadati; Pseudomonadota; Gammaproteobacteria; Oceanospirillales; Halomonadaceae.
GUAACAGGGGUAGCUUGCUACCCGCUGACGAGCGGCGGACGGGUGAGUAAUGCAUGGGAAUCUGCCCGGUAGUGGGGGAUAACUCGGGGAAACCCGAGCUAAUACCGCAUACGUCCUACGGGAGAAAGCAGGGGAUCUUCGGACCUUGCGCUAUCGGAUGAGCCCAUGUCGGAUUAGCUUGUUGGUGAGGUAAUGGCUCACCAAGGCCGCGAUCCGUAGCUGGUCUGAGAGGAUGAUCAGCCACACCGGGACUGAGACACGGCCCGGACUCCUACGGGAGGCAGCAGUGGGGAAUAUUGGACAAUGGGGGAAACCCUGAUCCAGCCAUGCCGCGUGUGUGAAGAAGGCCCUCGGGUUGUAAAGCACUUUCAGUGGGGAAGAAGGCAUGGCGGCUAAUACCCGCCAUGAAGGACAUCACCCACAGAAGAAGCACCGGCUAACUCCGUGCCAGCAGCCGCGGUAAUACGGAGGGUGCAAGCGUUAAUCGGAAUUACUGGGCGUAAAGGGCGCGUAGGCGGCUUGCCAAGCCGGAUGUGAAAGCCCCGGGCUCAACCCGGGAACGGCAUUCGGAACUGGCAGGCUAGAGUGCAGGAGAGGAAGGUGGAAUUCCCGGUGUAGCGGUGAAAUGCGUAGAGAUCGGGAGGAAUACCAGUGGCGAAGGCGGCCUUCUGGACUGACACUGACGCUGAGGCGCGAAAGCGUGGGUAGCAAACAGGAUUAGAUACCCUGGUAGUCCACGCCGUAAACGAUGUCGACCAGCCGUUGGACCCCUUGAGGGUUUGGUGGCGCAGUUAACGCAAUAAGUCGACCGCCUGGGGAGUACGGCCGCAAGGCUAAAACUCAAAUGAAUUGACGGGGGCCCGCACAAGCGGUGGAGCAUGUGGUUUAAUUCGAUGCAACGCGAAGAACCUUACCUGCUCUUGACAUCCUGCGAAUCUCCCAGAGAUGGGAGAGUGCCUUCGGGAACGCAGAGACAGGUGCUGCAUGGCUGUCGUCAGCUCGUGUUGUGAAAUGUUGGGUUAAGUCCCGUAACGAGCGCAACCCCUAUCCCUUUUUGCCAGCGGUCCGGCCGGGAACUUCAGGGAGACUGCCGGUGACAAACCGGAGGAAGGUGGGGACGACGUCAGUCAUCAUGGCCCUUACGAGCAGGGCU